GCCACCUUAGCUCAGUUGGUAGAGCAGCUGAUUUGUAAUCAGCCGGUCGCUGGUUCGAGUCCGGCAGGUGGCUCAA
This 76-nucleotide transfer RNA is filed under the name Bacteroidetes/Chlorobi group bacterium MS-B_bin-24. RNAcentral describes it as "tRNA-Thr". It matches the Rfam family "tRNA". From Rfam's summary of the family: Transfer RNA (tRNA) molecules are approximately 80 nucleotides in length. Their secondary structure includes four short double-helical elements and three loops (D, anti-codon, and T loops). Lineage: Bacteria; Pseudomonadati. The record is from RNAcentral.